ACAAGGAAUAGUGCGCAAUGGGCGAAAGCCUGACGCUGCAACGCCGCGUGUAGGAUGAAGGCCUUCGGGUUGUAAACUCCUUUUCUCUGUGAAGAAUCUGACGGUAACAGAGGAAUAAGCUUCGGCUAACUACGUGCCAGCAGCCGCGGUCAUACGUAGGAAGCAAGCGUUAUCCGGAAUAACUGGGCGUAAAGAGUUGCGUAGGCGGCUUAUAAAGCAAACAGUGAAAUCGUCCCGCUCAACGGGACGGCUAUUGUUUGAACUCAUUAGCUUGAGAAUGGUAGAGGUAGUUGGAAUUCCCAGUGUAGGGGUGAAAUCCGUAGAUAUUGGGAGGAACACCAAUGGCGUAGGCAGACUACUGGACCAUUUCUGACGCUGAGGCACGAAAGCGUGGGGAGCGAACCG
This 405-nucleotide ribosomal RNA is filed under the name uncultured bacterium. Its description in RNAcentral is "bacterial SSU rRNA". It matches the Rfam family "Bacterial small subunit ribosomal RNA", at positions 354 to 775 of the family's 1533-position model. The record is from RNAcentral.